RNAcentral lists this ribosomal RNA (468 nucleotides) under uncultured bacterium. Its description in RNAcentral is "partial 16S ribosomal RNA". It matches the Rfam family "Bacterial small subunit ribosomal RNA", at positions 28 to 507 of the family's 1533-position model. The record is from RNAcentral.
GACGAACGCUGGCGGCGUGCUUAACACAUGCAAGUCGAACGGAAAGGCCCUGCUUUUGUGGGGUGCUCGAGUGGCGAACGGGUGAGUAACACGUGAGUAACCUGCCCUUGACUUUGGGAUAACUUCAGGAAACUGGGGCUAAUACCGGAUAGGAGCUCCUGCUGCAUGGGGGGCGUUGGAAAGUUUCGGCGGUUGGGGAUGGACUCGCGGCUUAUCAGCUUGUUGGUGGGGUAGUGGCUUACCAAGGCUUUGACGGGUAGCCGGCCUGGGAGGGUGACCGGCCACAUUGGGACUGAGAUACGGACCAGACUCCUACGGGAGGCAGCAGUGGGGAAUAUGGCACAAUGGGCGGAAGCCUGAUGCAGAAACGCCGCGUGCGGGAUGACGGCCUUCGGGUUGUAAACCGCUUUCGCCUGUGACGAAGCGUGAGUGACGGUAAUGGGUAAAGAAGCACCGGCUAACUACGUG